Long non-coding RNA from Girardinichthys multiradiatus, 2968 nucleotides. RefSeq lists it as uncharacterized. The transcript is spliced from 4 exons. Lineage: Eukaryota; Metazoa; Chordata; Actinopteri; Cyprinodontiformes; Goodeidae. The record is from RefSeq and is a predicted model, not a curated record.
CCUGAUGGCUGAAAGAGGAAGAUAUCAAUGAUAUCAAAGUCAGUUUCUUAAAAUUACUUAAAUAACUUUGAGGAUUCUGUUCUGUGGAGCAAUGAGUAAAACAUGACAUUUUGCAGCCUGUGACUCAGUGGUCUGUCUGGAGGAAGAAGAAUGAAGCAUAUGCUGAAAAUAACCCAAUUCCCACAGUGAUGGCUCAGAUAUGCUGUGGACCUUUUUUGCUUCCUCCAGCACUGGAAGCUUGCAGGGUAAAAUGGAUUAAGUCAGGUCUCAGGAAAUCCUGGGAUGAAAAGUCAUGCUGUCAGGACAAUGAUUCCAGGCCUAUUUCAAAGUCCACUAAGGCCUGACAACACUGGAGUGGCCUUAGUAGUCCUUGAAGUAGACUUGAACUCUAUUAUAUAUCUCUGAGGGGAUUUGAAAUGCAGUUGAAACAGGCAAACCCAAGAUAAUUGAUGAACUGUAUCAAGCUUUUUUCCAUCAAUUACAUCAAAAGAAAACAACACUGAAUACAACUCCAGAACAACUCCUUUAUUUUGGAAAAAACCAAAUUUUUAAGUCACUUGUUUUGAAUGAAAUAUGCGGAUUUCAGGUAUUUUUUUUUCCCCUUUUCUUAUAAAUUCAGUGGUAUAUUAAGCAUGCAAUACCGCAUUAGCUGCUUAAGUUUUCAUUUUCCACAGAAAAAAACAGAAAACAACACAAAGUUCCCUCAAUAGUCCAGAUGAAGCUGCUUGGAAAAGGGUGGUUUGGAGAAGCCACAGCAUGAAGCGAUGUACACAGUUUGCGGUUGCAUAGUACACUACAUGAAGUUCCUCAUUUUUAAAACAGCAUGCCGCUUUGUAUUGCACAUUACUGAAACUUUGUAUACUGAACCUCGCUGUUGUCCCAGGUGGCUUUAGUCUCAUCUUAGCACAUGAAUACAACAAAUAGCAUCUCUCAGAGACAUUAUGUACAUUUAUUUGUUAUAAAAAUAAUCGCCAGGAAAUAUUCAUACUUCAUCACUUUUCUACUGGAAUAGACGGUUGCUCUUUUGCGUCUUUUGUUUUUCUGAAGGAAACAUCUUCCCCGUGUAUUCUAUAGGUUUGUCUGUUUCUGUCCAAAAGCAAAGUUCAUAAAGAAGUUUGAGACCGAAAAAUUGUUCAGAAAUGUCUGUGAAAAAGUGUGGCAUUAUUUUUGUAAUAAUCUAUUCCUUUGAGUGUAAAUCGGCAUAAAUGAUCCAUCGCUAAGCGUGUUACAAAGAGAGGGACGGCAGAGCUCUGGUCUGGAAAUCCCUCCUGAUUGUCUCAAGGAGCCCCGCUCAACCCUGAUUGGUUGGAUUUUCUAAUAAUGAAUCAGUCAAUGAGAUUUUGAUGCCAUUAUGCAUUAAUAACAUGCAAACUGAUUGCAUAUAGCGGCGGUAUUUUCAUUCAAUGGUGUGCAAAAAAAAAAAGUAAAAAGGAGAUUAGGGCAAAUAAAAUCAGCCUCUGCCCUUGUACAUGCUUCAGCUUACCAUACUUUUCCAGCUUUUUCUUUGUGCAAUGGGCAAUUCUAAGCUUAAUAAUACAAGAGCAUUAUAACCAGAAACAUUCAAUUGUUUAAACAAAACUGAAUAUCAUUAAAGCCCAAUAAAGUGUUGCUGCUUAACCUUAAAAAUAAAUCACUUAACCAACUUUUUUUAUACCAAAAAGUUUGUUUGAUGACGUGAUGCACUCACUACAGCUUCCCUCUGCUGCCAUCUAGUGGUCAAGUGCUCAAGCACAUGUUUUUGCCGCUGCUACGUUACAGUGUAGUGUAGUGUAGGAACUUAAAGGGAUACAUCAAAAUCUUUGAAAUGAGUUUUUUUUUUUUUAAGAUUAUAAGCAAAGAUAAUAUCUUACAUGCAGUAGAUUGACUGAGGUCAAGACCAAAGUAGGCUAUUAAUUUCCAAAACAAAAACAAAACAAACAAAAAAACUGUUUGUGCAAACAGUAUUCAUGUGACUUUAAAUCUUAUUUUACUUGCUUUGCGCGCAACGAACCCUUAACCGAUAGGGCCCGGUAGUGGCCGGGUUAAACUAUUUUUGAGCAUCUUCUGUUUAACAAGACCGGGAGAGGGAAGUGGUGCAGCCCAAAAAAAUACAGUCUUACGAAUUUCACGGCCACAUUCUGUCCUUUAAUCUAUCAUUAUGUCUAAACAGCCAAUCAAAAUCAACAAUCACAUCAUUUAAGAAGUAUAUUGGGCGGCAGAGUCACGUGUCUUGUUUCCAAGGUUCACUUCAAACCCAACUGCUAGUUUGCAACUUUUUUCUUUGCUAAUUAGCUUUUGGUUACAAACGGAACAGAAAAAAUUUUAAGUAUUUCUGGACAGUUUCUUUGUUUGUACUUUUUGGAAAAAUUUUCCCUUUUAAAGUCCCGUUAUUGGUCGCGGUUGACAGGGGGACAAUACAUAACAAUACAGAAAAUGUUGAAGUUUGACGUUCAGCAGAUGGUUGGGAAGCGACUCUAACCAGCAGUCCUUUAGCAGGUUGACAGCAGUGGGGCCGGUCUGCUGCAUGUCCGAGUUCGCUGAUAGUGGCCGCCUCCACAGCUGGAUGAGCACUGGGACCAGGCAGUCCAGCACGACCAGGCUCCACUCACUGUGAAGCACACAUAUAAUAAAAUAUUGAUUUAGUGUGCUGUGGUGCUGAAGCUAGAGUGACUAAAGUGUGCUGUUACCUGGGCAGGGGUGAGUGUUACAGUCCUGAUAUUCCACUGGGGAUCCAGCACAAGCUGCCAGGCUCCGGUGAAACACAUUGAGAGCCAUUAUCCACAUAUGGAGAAACCGGUGGUGAAUCUUCCCAGGAGUGGCGGGCCAACCAAAAUUACUCCGAAAGGGCAUUCAUGACUUGCCCAAAAGAAUCCAGAACAUCUAAAGCUCUGCAGGCCUCAUUUGGUUCAGUUUACAGAAAGGGUGAAGAAGAAUGAUUGUGUCUGACUCCAUAAACACAUCGGGAGAAGAUUUUCUAUGAUAAUGAAUC